UGCAGUGCAUGGUGAAGACACGUGAUGAAUGUUAUUAAGCGUUUGUAGUAAGGCCGCCUCCGCCUAUUUCUGUCUUUAGAAACGCUGUAUGGGUUUUGUCCACAGGCCAGCUGGAGUUUUGUGUUGCAGAAGACUUGCAGAAACGAGAUUUGAGAUGCCUCGGACGAAGCAGUCUCAGCGUUCUCAGGCAGCCAAGAAGAGAAUCGUGAACCGGCUAGCUGCUAAUCCUGAAGAGAUCUUGCCACCUGUUAAAAAAAGAAAAGAAAUACAAGAGCCUGAUCCUACUUUUGCCAAUUGUUCCGAAUUUGCCGAUUGUUCCGAAUUUUCCGAUUGUUCCGAAUUUGCCAAAUAUUCCGAAUCUUACCCAAACUCUGACCCAAAGUCUGAUUCAGACGCUAAUUCAAAGUCUAUGCCAAAGUUUCCAAAAGAUGCUGAGAUGACUAUGCAUGCUGUUUCUUCUUUGUCUCCACAGACUUCCUAUAUCAGAGGCUCUUUCCAUCAAGGAGAUUACCGUUUUGGCUGGAAUAGGGGAAGCCAAUGUGGUGCAAACAGUUUAACUGCAAUUGUGAUGUGUAAGAUGAAAAGUGUGUUGCAGUGGACAAGAAGUGACCUGAAUGCUGUUUUGAUCCACGGAAAUGAGCUGUACAGUGCAAUGAGAGACGCAGGGAAGAUCAACGAUCCUGAAUCAGGCUUCAUAGCUGUUCAUGAGCUACCAGACACACACACUCUGAAAGAUUGUCAGUUUUCAAUAAACUAUGGUGAAACAUUGACUGGCUUGUUUGGUGUCAAUAAAUAUGAUGGUGAACUACGAGGGUAUGCAAUGUCAUUUGAUGAAGCAGUAAAUCGAGCAUUCCAGAGGUUUGAUGCAUGCUUAGUGAAUAUUAAGCUAACCAUAUGUGCAGCUGUCAGAGAAGGUUCCUGGUAUGCAGUGAUUGAUCCACAUUCAAGACGCUUUGAUGGCAGAUGUGUAGCUGACGGUAAGAGUGUAGUGGUUUACCAUCGUGACUUGCAUUCUCUGAUUGUUCAUUUCCGGAAACUCGCUGCGUCUAUUAAUGCACGUUACCAUGAGUUUGAGGUAACUGGGGUCAAUGCAGUUAUGAUUGACAGAAACGAUCAACAGGGUAAGCCAUUCUGUCCAGUGAUCCAGAACACUGAACGAGCAGUGAAAGAGACUGAAGGUGAUGUUGGCUGCACUCAAUCUCUGAGUGAUUUUGUAAACUCUGUGAACGAAACUUGUGUAGAACAGAAAAGGGAAAUGGCUUCAUACACAGCUCAUGGAAAUGCAGGUGAUGUUGAAUUUAUUUCAGAAAGUGCCAGUGAUUCUAUACAGUUUAGUCCAUUAACACUUGAGCAACAAAAUAGUGUUUGCUUAAAGCUGAACAUUGCAAAUGUUGUAAAAGAACAAAAUAAUCCAAAUGUGAUGCCAAUGGAAAUUUCUGAGCCUUGUGAAACUAUGAAAAUUGUUAAAGACGCUAACUGCUUUUUUCGAGCCUUAGCCUAUGGUGUAAGUGGAACGGAACGAGAACACAGAAAAGUAAGACGGGCUGUAGUUACACACAUACUGCAGAAUGAAGAAAAGUAUGUACAGUAUCUCAGACAAGGAUACAGCUCUGUACCGGAGUACAUUGCCACAUCAAGAAUGAAAUUUGUUGGAAACUGGGCAACAGAGAUGGAAAUACAAGCAGCCAGUGAUUUAAUUGGUGUAGACAUUUUUACAUACAGUCAAGAGAAAUGGUUUAAGUUUUCAUCUUCAAAUGCGUCCUUUAAUACACAUGGCUGUCAAGACAUCGGCAUAUAUUUGAAACAUGUGAAUAGCUGUCAUUAUGAAGUUGUUGUAUGUGGAAAGAGCAAGGACGGUAACUGUGCUUCCCUUUGUAAAUCAGCAAUUCAAGAUCCAUUGUUUAAUGUAGCAACAAAUGUGUCUUCAGAGUCAUGUGAGGAUUAUAAGAAGAAACUUAAAUGCAACAAUAGUCCUGAGUUCAAAGAAGAAAAACAAGUGAAGUCAAAGAAAAGAUUCCAUGAGGAUGAAAGUUACAUUUCAAUGAUGAAAUCCAUCAAUAAAAAAUAUAAGAAAAAUGAACAGCAUAAAGGAAAAGUAAAGAAAAGUGUGGACAAAUCAAAUGACAAAUCCAAUGAUGUACACUGCGAAGCUGUGUCAGAAGUGGAAGUUGAUAUUGCCUGCAGUCAAUCUUUGAGAGAUGUUAUAAACACAGAUAAAGUAUCUGUGAACGAAAUGUAUGCGGAAAAAAAAACAGAAACACCUUUUUUAUACCUAACAAAUGAAAAUGCAAGUGAUGUUGAAUUUAUUUCAGAAACUGCUACUGUUUCUUUACAGAGUGUGGAAAAGUACAAAACAAAUGACACAGAUGACCAAUCAGAUGAUUUAAAGUGCAAAGCUGUGUCCCAAAUGGAAGCUGAUGUUGUCUGCAGUCAAUUUUCGAGUGAUUUCAUAAGUACAGAUGAAGUAUCCGUGAAUGAAAUGUGUACUGAACAGAAAACAGAAAUGCCUUCUUUGUACCUAACAAAACAGAUUGCAGGUGAUGUUGAAUUUAUUUCAGAAACUGCCACUGUUUCUUUUCAGUUUAGCCCAUUAACAGUACAGCAACAAAAGACUAUUUGCUCAAAGCUGAACAUCGUAAAUGUUGUAAAAGAACAGAAUAAUCGAAAUGAGAUCGUUGAAAUGGCUGAGCCUUGUGAAACAAAAGAAAUUUUGGAGGAUGGUAAUUGUUUUUUUAGAGCUAUAGCGUAUGCUAUAAGUGGAAGUGAAGAAGAACACAGAAAAGUAAGACGGGCUGUAGUUACACACAUACUACACAAUGAAGAAAAGUAUGUACAGUAUCUCAGACAAGGAUACAGCUCUGUACCAGAAUACAUUGCCACAUCAAGAAUGAAAUAUGUUGGAACUUGGGCGACAGAGAUGGAAAUACAAGCAGCCAGUGAUUUAAUUGGUGUAGACAUUUUUACAUAUAGUCAAGACAAAUGGCUUAAAUAUAAAUCUUCAAAUGUCUCCUCUAAUAGACAGAGCUGUCAAGACAAGGGAAUUUAUUUGCAUCAUGUGAAUAGCUGUCAUUAUGAAGUUGUUGUAUGUGUAAAAACCAACAACAAUACCUGUGCUUGCUUUUGUAAAGCAUCUUCUCAAGGUUCAACCUAUUUAAAAACUAGCUCAGACCCACGUAAGCUUUAUAAGCAGAGACUGCAAUAUAGUCGUGAUCAUGAUUUUAAAGAAAAUAAAAAAAUGGAAACUAAGCAAAGAUAUGAUGAGAAUGAAACUUAUAAAGAGACAAAAAUUAAAUGCAGUAGUAAAAAGUACAAGGUAAACAAAUGGCAUCAAGAAAAAGUACGCAAAUACAGCACAGAUAAAUACAGAUUGAAUGAUUUGCAUUGUGAGGCAGUAAAACAAUAUAGUAUACAAAAGUACCAUACAGACAAAGCACAUAAAGACACGGUCAAAAAGAUGAGCAUUCAAAAAUAUAAUGAAAACACAGAACACAGAGAGUCGGUCAAAAAGAUGAGCAUUCAAAAAUAUAAUGAAAACACAGAACACAGAGAGUCGGUCAAAAAGAUGAGCAUUCAAAAAUAUAAUGAAAACACAGAACACAGAGAGUCGGUCAAAAAGAUGAGCAUUCAAAAAUAUAAUGAAAACACAGAACACAGAGACUCAGUCAAAAAGAUGAGCAUUUUAAAGUAUAAUGCAAAUAAACCACACAAAGAGAUGGUUAUAAAUUACAAUGUUCAGAAAUAUAAAACUGAUAUUGCUUUUGUCAAUAAUAUAAAAAUGAGAAAUGCUGCAAGACAAUAUGAAUCACAGCUAAAAAUGAAAGAGAUAGACUAUGUAAUUGAACAAUUUAAACAAAAAAUAUCUACAGGUCCUGAAUAUGUUUGUUCAGUAUGUCAUCGUUGCUGCUUUAAAAUGCAGGUAAAAAAAUGCAAUAAAAAUAAAUACCUUCAAAAAUCAAUUCAUGCUGGUUGUAUGGCAGAAAAAUGUAUUACACUGAAAUAUCUGCAUGAGUGUAAUAAAGAUUGUAGUGAAAACUGUGUCUAUAAAAACAGUCCUGCUGCAUCUUUAUGGAUUUGUCACACAUGUGAUACAAAACUCUGUGAAGGUAAAAUGCCAGCUGAAAGUGUAGCAAAUCAUCUAAGUUUGGAUCCUAUUCCUGCUGAACUGAGCUGUUUAAACUCUCUUGAGCAACAUCUAAUAGGAAAAAAUAUUCCAUUCAUGAAAAUGCUGGCUUUGCCACGAGGAGGACAGAAUGGAAUAUGUGGCCCCGUUGUGUGCAUUCCAUCUAAUGUUACAGAAGUAGUGAAUGUUUUACCAAGAUCAGAAAAUGAUUUUAUGAUACCAAUAAAGCUUAAGAGAAAACUGACAUAUAAAGGGCAUUAUGAGUAUAAAUUUGUGAAUAGUGAUAAAAUUAAAACAGCAUUGACAUAUUUAAAAGAGAAUAACAAAUGGUAUACAGAUGUAGAGUUUAACAAAACUUGGAUUAAUCCUCUGAGUAAAAUAGAAGAGGAAAUGACUGAUAAAACAGAAAACAAUGAUAUGGAUUUGGACAAUUGUGAGGAUAUGCAUAUUAAUGAAGAGCAAAACAUUGACAAUGAUGAUAAUGAGAUGAGUGAUGAAACACUUCAUGAUCGACAGCAGCAUGGUUUGUUUAUGGAUUCAUGUUUGCAGCCAGUGGACAUUGCACAAGAAGUCUUAGAUCAACACUUUGAUGGCAUUAUGUCACUUGCACCAGCAGAGGGCAAUAAUCCAGUGAGAAUGCUAAUGGAUGAAACUAAUGAAGCCAAAUGUUUUCCAGUUCUGUUCCCAAAAGGAAAAGGUACAUUUCAUGAUUCACGACCUGAGAAAUUAACACUGUCUAGGUAUUUAAACAACAGAAUUUUAAAUGCAGAUGGACGUUUUGCCCAAAACCUCGAUUACAUCUUUUAUGGACAAUAUUUGUCAGAGCUGAAUCAAAUUAUGUCUAAUGUAUCUAUUGCAUUGAGGAAAGGCUAUGAUUCAAGCAACAAAACUAAAAUUACCUCAGAAAUGCUGACAAACAAAGACUCACUUCAAAGAAUUUUCAAUUAUGAUGAGGGUUACAAGUUUUUAAGGCCAGUGAGAGGCAGUCCUGUUUUUUGGCAAGCUGUUCAAAAAGAUUUGUUUGCAAUGGUAAGGCAACUUGGGAUCCCAACAUGGUUUUGUUCAUUUUCAUCAGCUGAUUUGCGAUGGCCAGAGUUAAUGCAGUGUAUUGUCAAACAAGAGGGUUGUCAAACUCCUAUUGAUGAACUGGACUGGUCUGAUAGAUGUGGGAUGCUGAAACGAAACCCAGUAACUGCUGCCAGAAUGUUUGAUCAUCGAUUCCACUGUUUUCUGAAAGAUGUCAUUAUGUCACCAGCUCAACCCAUUGGAAAAAUAAUAGAUUAUUUCUAUCGAAUUGAAUUUCAACAACGUGGAUCACCUCACACACAUUGUCUGUUUUGGGUUGAGAAUGCACCUCAAGUGGACAGAGAGGACGAUGAUGAAGUUGUAGAAUUUGUUGAUCGUUAUGUCAGUUGUGAAAUGCCAGCUGAAGAUGAAACAGAAAUGCAUGAAAUUGUGAGCACUGUCCAACAGCACAGCAAAAGACAUGCAAAAACGUGUAGAAAGAAAGGCACUACAUGUAGAUUUAACUUUCCACGUCCACCUAGCAAUAAUACUUUCAUUACAAGAAGCAGACAAACAGAUAAGAAUGAAAAAACAACAGUUGAUGGACAAUGUGAAAGUAAAGACCAAAAGGUAAACAAUUCUAAAGAGAUAUCAAAAGAAUUAGCUGAAAGUAUAAUGAAGAAAGUAAGAGAAUGUUUGCUGAACAGUGAUGCUAUCUUUGACUCUGUUGACUCUAUGUUUGCAUCUAUUGGUAUAAAUCAAGAGAUAUUUGAAUGCGCUUAUAACAAAAUGACAAAGAAAACAAAUGUUGUGCUGAAAAGGAAACCAAGUGAUGUUUGGGUGAAUCAGUAUAAUAAAGAUCUUUUGCGAUGCUGGAAUGCAAACAUGGACAUACAGUUUGUUGUUGAUGCUUACUCUUGCAUAGUGUAUAUCAUUUCCUACAUUUCAAAAGCAGAGAGAGAAAUGGGAUUGCUGUUGGCAAAUGCACAGAAAGAAGCACACAAGGAUGGCAAUAUGGAUGCAAAACAAGCUUUAAGAAAACUUGGAAGUGUUUUUCUUCAUAAUAGAGAGGUCUCAGCUCAAGAGAGUGUUUAUCGUUUGACUAAUAUGAGAUUAAAAGAAGGAUCGAGGAAAGUGGUUUUUUUAUUCCAACUGGUAUUAAU
Cyprinus carpio carpio is the source of this 6288-nucleotide long non-coding RNA. The record is from Ensembl. Lineage: Eukaryota; Metazoa; Chordata; Actinopteri; Cypriniformes; Cyprinidae.